GUCAUGGGUAUUACAACCAUAUAAAAGCCGAGCGCUUCACAACACACGCAGAAGAGAAGUUGUACACAUAAGACUGUUCGGAUUAUUUACGAUCACUUGUAACAACAUGUUGCGAACGUACGUCGUAUGUUAUCUGCUCCUCAUCAGCGGUCUGGGCGUCUGUGGCACAGAGGACAAGGAGAAGAGUUUCUGGGAUAGCCCGUGGGCCUGGGUCCCCGCUGUUGUGGGUGGAACUGUAGCAGGUGCGGUACUGGGGCCAGUUGCUAUCGGG
Molecule: long non-coding RNA, 271 nt
Organism: Haliotis rubra (blacklip abalone)
Lineage: Eukaryota; Metazoa; Mollusca; Gastropoda; Lepetellida; Haliotidae
Exons: 4
Source: RefSeq, a predicted model, not a curated record